Molecule: ribosomal RNA, 363 nt
Filed under: Listeria monocytogenes
Lineage: Bacteria; Bacillati; Bacillota; Bacilli; Caryophanales; Listeriaceae
Description: bacterial SSU rRNA
Rfam family: Bacterial small subunit ribosomal RNA
Source: RNAcentral
CUAUCGCUUACAGAUGGGCCCGCGGUGCAUUAGCUAGUUGGUAGGGUAAUGGCCUACCAAGGCAACGAUGCAUAGCCGACCUGAGAGGGUGAUCGGCCACACUGGGACUGAGACACGGCCCAGACUCCUACGGGAGGCAGCAGUAGGGAAUCUUCCGCAAUGGACGAAAGUCUGACGGAGCAACGCCGCGUGUAUGAAGAAGGUUUUCGGAUCGUAAAGUACUGUUGUUAGAGAAGAACAAGGAUAAGAGUAACUGCUUGUCCCUUGACGGUAUCUAACCAGAAAGCCACGGCUAACUACGUGCCAGCAGCCGCGGUAAUACGUAGGUGGCAAGCGUUGUCCGGAUUUAUUGGGCGUAAAGCG